RNAcentral lists this ribosomal RNA (383 nucleotides) under uncultured eukaryote. Its description in RNAcentral is "SSU rRNA". It matches the Rfam family "Eukaryotic small subunit ribosomal RNA", at positions 587 to 990 of the family's 1831-position model. The record is from RNAcentral.
AGCUCCAAUAGCGUAUAUUUAAGUUGUUGCAGUUAAAAAGCUCGUAGUCGGAUUUUGGCUGAGAACGAACGGUCCGCCGUUAGGUGUGCACUGUUUGGUCUCAGCUUCCUGGUGAGGAGGUGUGCUUCACGGCCACUUAGUCACCGUGGUUACUUUGAAAAAUUAGAGUGUUCAAAGCGGGCUUACGCUUGAAUAUAUUAGCAUGGAAUAACACCAUAGGACUCCUGUCCUAUUUCGUUGGUCUCGGGACGGGAGUAAUGAUUAAGAGGAACAGUUGGGGGCAUUCGUAUUUCAUUGUCAGAGGUGAAAUUCUUGGAUUUAUGAAAGACGAACUUCUGCGAAAGCAUUUGCCAAGGAUGUUUUCAUUGAUCAAGAACGAAAGU